UGGCGCACGGGUGAGUAACACGUGGAUAAUCUACCCAUCGAUUUGGGAUACCAGUUGGAAACGACUGUUAAUACCGGAUACGAUCCAUAUUUAGCUUUAUGGGUGAAAGGCGGUGCAAGCUGUCGUCGAUGGAUGAGUCCGCGGUACAUUAGGUAGUUGGUGGGGUAAAGGCCUACCAAGCCUGUGAUGUAUAGCCGGCCUGAGAGGGUGAACGGCCACACUGGGACUGGAACACGGCCCAG
RNAcentral lists this ribosomal RNA (242 nucleotides) under uncultured bacterium. RNAcentral's name for it is "partial 16S ribosomal RNA". It matches the Rfam family "Bacterial small subunit ribosomal RNA", at positions 96 to 334 of the family's 1533-position model. The record is from RNAcentral.